Molecule: long non-coding RNA, 2104 nt
Organism: Xiphias gladius (swordfish)
Lineage: Eukaryota; Metazoa; Chordata; Actinopteri; Istiophoriformes; Xiphiidae
Exons: 4
Source: RefSeq, a predicted model, not a curated record
GCAGCUCUGCAGUUUGCCCUCGGCAAAAUUGUGAAGAUUUAAAGGGCCGGAAUGAGGUGCGGAGGACAAUCAGGGCGAAUGUGUUGUAACAGAGUGUGCUGCAUGGUGAGCCUGUGCCCGCUGCAGCCACAGAUUUCUGUUCUUCGCAGACAGGAGUGGAACCUCACAUGGUUUUCUGCUGUUGUAUCCCAUCCGCCUCAAGCCUGCCAUACAUCUUCCUUUUUGGCACAGAUGGAUCAUUUACAGACAAUGAGUACAACACUAAUUAAAAGCUGAUGACGCAGAAAGUACUGAACCGAUUUGCACCAAACUUCCUGGGGGGAUUUGCCAUGGGCCAGGAAAGAACCCAUUAAAUUUUGGUGCAGAAUCAAUUAAAGGGGAAAAUCCAGGAUAUUUUUUAUCACUUAAAAUUGCGAGUGGGGACAUUUUUUAACAUUUCGUCAAUAUUUGGCCUUGGCAGAAGUAUGUGCUCUACUGAGUGCCAUUGUAGUUGUUGAAUUUGUUCAUAUACCAAGGUAUAAAAAGACACAUAGAAAAUGGUCUUUCAAAUCUGAUAUUUGCUAAAUCAGCUUUUUAUUUCUAAACAUGUACAUUUUGUUUACAGUGCAUCCUGAUGCACGAUGUUUCUGCCAUCUAUCACUUCUAUGUUGUUAUGUUCACAAAGUAUAUUUACAAAUGCAUACUCAAUCAUGAUCUACAUGGUGACAUAAAAAGUGAGAGGGUCAUACAAAUGGGGAACUAUCACUCCUCUAGAUGAAACCAAGCCAUGGUGUCAUCCUUGCAACCUUAAAAUCACACAACACUGACCUCACUUUAACCUCUUGAGUAUUUAAAAAAAAAAAUGUUCAAUGUGAUUAUUUAGUUAUUUCGGGAUUUUCCUCAUAUAUCACAACCCUAUAUCAAAACACACUGUACAUAUUUCAUAUGUUAAAAAUACAUGAAAAAAUGCCUUUAUUUGAUGGAGCAUUAGCAGUGUUCCAUUGUUUAAAGGUAAACUGGGCUACAUCCAGGCCAAAUUAUUUUUCUGGUGCUGCACUGCGUGCAGUUCUGUUCUGUGGGCCUAUGCAGAGUUCCCUCAUCACUCCCUCCAAUGUGAACAGGAAACGCAUGCCAGUAGCACACAGCAUGGACCUGUUAGACGUUUGGCUUAAUGUGGCGCAGCACAACACUGACUUAAUAAGAGGCAUGCUGGUUAGAAACUUUGUCUGACUUUUGCCAGUGCUGCAGAACGUCACCAUGUCACAUGACCGUAAAACCUUGCGGGAGCCAGGCACCUGCAUUUUUCUGAGUCAGUCGCUGCAAUUGCUCUCCUCCGGCUGAACCAACUGAGAACCACCUAUGUGAAGAACGAACUUUGCCUUAAGUUCCCUUAAGGCUCACUAACAUGCAUGACAUGUGGUAUGCUUUUAUUAAGAACUUCAGAUCUGUUAUCUCUUACAGUUAUCGCUCCUAAAGGGGAUGCAAUUUUUUUUUUAUCACCUCCUUCUUGUAGCUCAUUGUUUUUCCCAUCAAGAAAGCUAGUCUAAAAGUCUAAAAGUGUUGAUUUGGCAGGUAUUCCAUGUGUGACUUUACCCCCAUACACCUUAACCCAUUGCCCUAGAUGUUUUCAUUAAACAUUAUGUAGAUUAAAUUUCACGUGUCAAAAGACUAAUAUAAAGUUGUGUUUGGCCUGAAAAUGUUUUAGAACAACAUAUUUUUGAGUGAGUAAAAAUGUGUAUAAGUUUUGCACAACAGUCUGACAUAUUGAGGGUAACACUCAUAUUUUUAAAUAAAAAAGCAUUGAACAGCUGUGCAGAUUUUCCGCAAUGGGUUGUGUGAACAUCUGCUGCUGUGACAGAGGUGUACGAUGUUUUGGCGUGUUGCUUACUGAUGAUGCAUUUUUUGCAAUUGAACAGGUAUUCUGUGUUUGUGUAAUAGUCUUUAUGUACUGUAUAUAGUUUUGCGAGCUCACUCACGGUACGGGAAGCACAAUGUGUCCGACUGGACGCCAUUGUUUUUAUACUCCACCUCUGCUUUCGAAGGCAGUCGAAGUUGAAAACGAACGCAGCUUUUCAUUUAAACGGAAGCGGUGUUGCGCAACACCCUGUUGCGUUACGCAUGCGCA